This 30-nucleotide non-coding RNA is filed under the name Homo sapiens (human). The record is from RNAcentral. Lineage: Eukaryota; Metazoa; Chordata; Mammalia; Primates; Hominidae.
CAUAAUUGAGGUGACAGCUGUUGCUGCAGU